GAGCAAUGAAGAAUAAGAAAGACGAAAGCUUAUGGACUGAAGUUGAAAGUUCAAUACUUUUACUGCACUCUAAGAUUAUAAUUUAUAAUAGAAGUACUAACUUCCUCAGUAGCUUUCCAGAAAGAAGUAAACUCUUCCUCUUUUCUCAGUUAGCUUCUCCAUUUGAUACUUUAGUUAUGAACUUUUCUUGUAGGUUUUUGAUUGAUAAUUGAUCAGAUCACUAUUAUUUUUUGGGAUUUCUUUCUUGAUGUGAUUCUAAGAUGAGUGUUUCUAAGAUGUGUCAUCACCACUAUGUUUGGCCUGAUUGUUUACCUGAUUUUGAACACAAAGUGUGAUUUGUCUAGUUUGCCGAAACUUAGCAUCAAGCUUUUGUAUAUAUGUGUUUCAAUUGGUAACGGGUAUAGAUAUUGUACUAUUACAAUUAUUGAGCUAAAACAGUCUCUCUAAUGGUGGAAGCUUGAGCAAUCUUUAAUGGUGGAAUUACUUGUAACGAUGAGGAUACUAAGUGACAAAAAGAAGAGAGAAAGGCUUAGG
Molecule: long non-coding RNA, 534 nt
Filed under: Capsicum annuum
Lineage: Eukaryota; Viridiplantae; Streptophyta; Magnoliopsida; Solanales; Solanaceae
Description: long non-coding RNA (CANN_LNC016201)
Source: RNAcentral